This 183-nucleotide ribosomal RNA is filed under the name uncultured bacterium. RNAcentral's name for it is "partial 16S ribosomal RNA". It matches the Rfam family "Bacterial small subunit ribosomal RNA", at positions 1318 to 1500 of the family's 1533-position model. The record is from RNAcentral.
GCACGAAGCUGGAAUCGCUAGUAAUCGCGGAUCAGAAUGCCGCGGUGAAUACGUUCCCGGGUCUUGUACACACCGCCCGUCACACCAUGGGAGCCGGGAAUGCCCGAAGUCUGUGGCCCAACCGAGAGGGGGGAGCAGCCGAAGGCAGGCCUGGUGACUGGGGUGAAGUCGUAACAAGGUACC